CUUGACUCUGGAGUUGUAGUAUUGGGCCGUUCGCUGUUGGUAUCUUGCCAUACGAACCCGGGCGACCUCUCGUGUCUCUUCAACGAGGUCCAAAUUGCUCCUGAGCUGGGAGGAAUUGGUGUCAGGGUCGUAGUGCUCCACCCUUGGAGAAGGAAGGCCGAUCUCUAGCGGGAUGACGGCUUCAGUGCCGUAUGCUAGGUUGAAGGGAGUCUCUCCCGUGGGCAGUCGGAAAGUAGUCCGGUACGCCCAAAGGACAUUGUACAAGUCCUCGACCCACUGUCCUUUGGACCGAUCAAGCCUAGCCUUGAGUCCCUACAAAAUAGU
This 324-nucleotide long non-coding RNA is filed under the name Phoenix dactylifera (date palm). RNAcentral describes it as "long non-coding RNA (PDAC_LNC020476)". The record is from RNAcentral. Lineage: Eukaryota; Viridiplantae; Streptophyta; Magnoliopsida; Arecales; Arecaceae.